Molecule: unclassified non-coding RNA, 376 nt
Filed under: uncultured Gammaproteobacteria bacterium
Lineage: Bacteria; Pseudomonadati; Pseudomonadota; Gammaproteobacteria
Description: contains 16S-23S intergenic spacer region
Source: RNAcentral
UCCGGUUUGUCACCGGCAGUCUCAUUAGAGUGCCCAACUGAAUGUAGCAACUAAUGACAAGGGUUGCGCUCGUUGCGGGACUUAACCCAACAUCUCACGACACGAGCUGACGACAGCCAUGCAGCACCUGUGUAAUGGUUCCCUUUCGGGCACUCCUCAAUCUCUCAAGGAUUCCAUUCAUGUCAAGGGUAGGUAAGGUUUUUCGCGUUGCAUCGAAUUAAUCCACAUCAUCCACCGCUUGUGCGGGUCCCCGUCAAUUCCUUUGAGUUUUAAUCUUGCGACCGUACUCCCCAGGCGGUCUACUUCACGCGUUAGCUGCGUUACCAAGUCAAUUAAGACCCGACAACUAGUAGACAUCGUUUAGGGCGUGGACUAC